RNAcentral lists this ribosomal RNA (496 nucleotides) under Nymphon unguiculatum. RNAcentral's name for it is "partial 16S ribosomal RNA". It matches the Rfam family "Bacterial large subunit ribosomal RNA", at positions 1808 to 2599 of the family's 2925-position model. Lineage: Eukaryota; Metazoa; Arthropoda; Pycnogonida; Pantopoda; Nymphonidae. The record is from RNAcentral.
CAAAAACAUUGCUUUUUAUAUUUAAUAAAAAGUAUGGUCUGCCCAGUGAGUAAUUUUAACGGCCGCAAUAUUUGUGCGAAGGUAGCAUAAUCAUUUGUCUUUUAAUUGAUGACUGGAAUGAAUGGCUGGACGGAGAAAAGCUGUCUCUUUUAUAUUUUUUAAAAAUUUACUUUCAAGUUAAAAGGCUUGAAUAAUAUAGAGGGACGAGAAGACCCUAUUGAGUUUUAUAGCUAAACUUCAAAUUUUUCUUUAAUUUUAAAUAAUAGCUAUUUAGUUGGGGUGACUUUAUAAUAAAAUCUAUAUUAGAAUUAAUAGACAUUAAGUUAUUAGGAUCCAUAAUUUAUGAUAAAUAGAUUAAAUUACCUUAGGGAUAACAGCGUAAUAUUUUUUUAGAGUUCAAAUCGAUUAAAAUGCUUACGACCUCGAUGUUGGAUUAAAGAACCUAAUUUGGAGAAGAAGCUAAUUUAGGUAGUCUGUUCGACUAUUAAAUCUUUAC